CCUACGGGCGGCAGCAGUGGGGAAUAUUGGACAAUGGGCGAAAGCCUGAUCCAGCAAUACCGCGUGUGUGAAGAAGGCCUGAGGGUUGUAAAGCACUUUCAAUAGGAAGGAAUACCUGCCGGUUAAUACCCGGUAGACUGACAUUACCUAUACAAGAAGCACCGGCUAACUCCGUGCCAGCAGCCGCGGUAAUACGGAGGGUGCAAGCGUUAAUCGGAAUUACUGGGCGUGAUGCGUGCGUAGGGAUGUGAAAGCCCUGGGCUUAACCUGGGAACUGCAUUUGAUACUGGGCAACUAGAGUUUAGUAGAGGGGAGUGGAAUUUCAGGUGUAGCGGUGAAAUGCGUAGAGAUCUGAAGGAACACCAGUGGCGAAGGCGGCUCCCUGGACUAAAACUGACGCUGAGGUACGAAAGCGUGGGUAGCAAACAGGAUUAGAUACCCGGGUAGUC
RNAcentral lists this ribosomal RNA (449 nucleotides) under uncultured bacterium. Its description in RNAcentral is "partial 16S ribosomal RNA". It matches the Rfam family "Bacterial small subunit ribosomal RNA", at positions 338 to 795 of the family's 1533-position model. The record is from RNAcentral.